GAUGAACGCUGGCGGCGUGCCUAAUACAUGCAAGUAGAACGCUGAAGGAGGAGCUUGCUCUUUCCGGAUGAGUUGCGAACGGGUGAGUAACGCGUAGGUAACCUGCCUGGUAGCGGGGGAUAACUAUCGGAAACGAUAGCUAAUACCGCAUAACAGUAGAUAUUGCAUGAUAUUUGCUUGAAAGGGGCAAUUGCUCCACUACCAGAUGGACCUGCGUUGUAUUAGCUAGUUGGUGAGGUAACGGCUCACCAAGGCGACGAUACAUAGCCGACCUGGGAGGGUGAUCGGCCACACUGGGACUGGGACACGGCCCAGACUCCUACGGGAGGCAGCAGUAGGGGAUCUUCGGCAAUGGACGGAAGUCUGACCGAGCAACGCCGCGUGAGUGAAGAAGGUUUUCGGAUCGUAAAGCUCUGUUGUAAGAGAAGAACGAGUGUGAGAGUGGAAAGUUCACACUGUGACGGUAUCUUACCAGAAAGGGACGGCUAACUACGUG
Molecule: ribosomal RNA, 496 nt
Filed under: uncultured bacterium
Lineage: Bacteria
Description: partial 16S ribosomal RNA
Rfam family: Bacterial small subunit ribosomal RNA
Source: RNAcentral